Molecule: long non-coding RNA, 2533 nt
Filed under: Macaca fascicularis (crab-eating macaque)
Lineage: Eukaryota; Metazoa; Chordata; Mammalia; Primates; Cercopithecidae
Description: lncRNA (ENSMFAG00000064144.1)
Source: RNAcentral
GGCUGCCCUUCUCAUUAUUGCCCUCUCUUCUUCAGUAAACAGGAUAUUUGUGAUAAACAUUAUCUUAGCCCAAGUAUAAAAAUUGGGUCCUAAAAAUUGAUUUAGCUGUUCUUCUAAUCCAAGGGAAUCUUCUAAAAGUGGCCUCAUUUCCUUUUUAAAAUUCCUAACCUCAGUACUUGUUAAAGGCACGCUCGUAAAUCCAACUUCUCCCAGUCCCAUAGGGCCUUCUUUAAGAGGAAACAUGUUGGACAUCUCCUAUUUAGAGCGAAUAGGGAAAUUCUUAACGUUCUUCUUACAUUGCUGUAAUUCUUUGCUUAAGUUCAGAUAAGGAUUUAAGGGAGCAGUGGGUUUAGUUUCCUCAUGGCCCCCAGAUUUCUCUUCCUCCAGCCUUCCUGUUGUCCCCUGAUCUCACUGUUCCUUAUUUUGUGAGAUGUAUGGUGGGCGCGAGGGGAGGGUGCCCAAGUGUGUUAGGGCAUCCCAGGGCUUUUUAUCGGGUGAGGGCUCUUUACUAUGCUCUUUUUCUUUUUCUUUGAGGGGAGCAUGGGGGCUAAUUCCCUGACCCAACAGAUAGCAUAACCUGUCUUUUCUUGUGAGGAUAAGGUUUUAUUAUUCACAUGUAGAAUUAAACCUUGGCACACCCAAUCCUCAUCUGAGCCAAACUUAGGCCAAAAGACCAAAGGCUUACGAAUGGGAUCUUUGGGCUCAAUAAGACAGCGAUACUUUAUCAUCUUUUGCUUUUCCUUGUCCCUGGUUUGAGGGUUAUACCUGCAAACCUGCAGCAUUCUCCCCAAUGGACUAUCUGUGGGAAUGUCAAAGGGAACCUCCUUAGUUCUCUGUUUCCUUUGUUCCCUAGGCCUAGAAUUCCUGUUUCCUAUUUUCAGUUAGUCUCUGUGUCUUUUCCCUCGCUAUGCAGCCCCUGCUACAAGAGCUUUCUUGCACACCCUGAGAAUUGCUUCGUCUGUCUCUGGCUGUUUCCCUUUACGAGAGAACAGAACCACAGAUUGGGACUCCACACUUGCUUUUUAUUUAAGAUACGUCUCAGUCACACACACUUGACCUCCAAAAAUGCCCCACCACCAAGGCAAUACUUACAGUCCGAUUUUCCGACCUUGGCUAGUGCAAAAGGUUGCCUGGUUUCUGAGAUGCCUGCUUUUUUCCCCGUGUCAUCUCCACUGCCUCCUGGAUAACAGUCUUGGGUUUGUCUGUGACUUCUGUGGGGAGCUGCUAUCCCCAGACAGAGUGGGCCACCUAAAGUGGGUGAGACGUGUCUCCCCUCUAGGCUGGAGUCCCACUCCAUGCAAGCACAGGUGUCCCAGAUGAGCCCCCAGGUUGUGAGAAACAAACAACCCUUCAAACCUAAAGAAUGGACUUAGAGACACAGGGAGCAGCAGAAGUGAGACUUUUAAUGACAGUCUUGCAAGAUCGAGGGUCUGGUGGACAGGCACACUCAGCACGGUUACCACAAGCAAUUUAUCCCCUAGUGUGCAGGUCCUUCCCCUGAGUCCUCAUAAGAUGAGUACUAUGGGGUCACAGUCUUCCCAGAUGUUGCCUAUUGGUCAUUGGGUAGGGGCUUUUAGGUAUAUUUUUUAGGGUCACCUCACUACAUUCUGUUGCAGCCCACAAUGCAUUGCAGUUAUAGUUAGCUCAGGGGCUUUUUAAAUAUUUGACCUAUGACCUAGGUAGGCAAGCUGGUAAGAAUAGAUAAAGCGAGCUAUUUUGGAGGCUAAUAAACUUUUAUUCUAGACUAAACUUCUUUGGUUCAGGUGAGGGCAACUAAAGGGCCACAGCAAGCAGGCGCUGGCUAUCAAAGCAGAGGCCUUAUGUAGUGUGUUCUUCAGUAGUUUGCAGAUCCAAGCCUAUUCAAGGCACUUUGUCUUGGAAAUGGACCACCACAUACAUUAUUUCCUUCAAUACCUAUUAGGACAGCUAAAUUAAAAUACAGUGAUAACACCAAAUACUGGUCAGGAGGCAGAGAAGCUGGACCUCUCAUGCAUUGCUGGUGGGAAUGUAAAAUCGCACAGACACUUCGGAAAAUUAUUUGGCCAUGUCUUAUCAAAUGAAGCACACAAAUACCAUACAACCCAGCAGUCACACUCUUAGGCAUUUAUCUCAUAGAAAUAAAAAUUUAUAUUCACACCAAAAUCGGUACACAGAUAUUCAGAGUGCUUUUAUUCAUAAUUGUAACAACCUAGAAAUAACCCCAAAAUGUUCAACUUUGGUAUAUCCAUACAACGAAAUACUACUCACCAGUGAAAAAGUAACAAUCUAUGAUACCAACAAUCUGGGUAGAUCUCAAAGGCAAUUGUGUUCAGUAAAAAAAUCACAGGGGCAUUACUCUCAGUGGAAAAAGCCCACCUUAAGAGGUUAUAUACUGUGUGAUUUCUACAACAUUCUCAAAAUGAAAAACCAACAGAGAUGGAAAACAGAUUGUAGUUUCCAGGAGCCGGGGACUGGGAGUUGGGGUGCAAAUAUAAAGGGGUAUCAUAGCCUGGGAAACAUGGUGAAACUCCAUCUCUACAAAAAAAAAAAAAAA